This 497-nucleotide ribosomal RNA is filed under the name uncultured bacterium. Its description in RNAcentral is "partial 16S ribosomal RNA". It matches the Rfam family "Bacterial small subunit ribosomal RNA", at positions 28 to 507 of the family's 1533-position model. The record is from RNAcentral.
GAUGAACGCUGGCGGCGUGCCUAAUACAUGCAAGUCGAGCGAACGGACGAGAAGCUUGCUUCUCUGAUGUUAGCGGCGGACGGGUGAGUAACACGUGGAUAACCUACCUAUAAGACUGGGAUAACUUCGGGAAACCGGAGCUAAUACCGGAUGAUAUUUUGAACCGCAUGGUUCAAAAGUGAAAGACGGUCUUGCUGUCACUUAUAGAUGGAUCCGCGCUGCAUUAGCUAGUUGGUAAGGUAACGGCUUACCAAGGCAACGAUGCAUAGCCGACCUGAGGGGGUGAUCGGCCACACUGGAACUGAGACACGGUCCAGACUCCUAAGGGAGGCAGCAGUAGGGAAUCUUCCGCAAUGGGCGAAAGCCUGACGGAGCAACGCCGCGUGAGUGAUGAAGGUCUUCGGAUCGUAAAACUCUGUUAUUAGGGAAGAACAUAUGUGUAAGUAACUGUGCACAUCUUGACGGUACCUAAUCAGAAAGCCACGGCUAACUACGUG